This 283-nucleotide long non-coding RNA is filed under the name Olea europaea (common olive). Its description in RNAcentral is "long non-coding RNA (OEUR_LNC009904)". The record is from RNAcentral. Lineage: Eukaryota; Viridiplantae; Streptophyta; Magnoliopsida; Lamiales; Oleaceae.
UAGAUUUUCCCACAAUUGCUUUAGGUCUUAUGAAACUUAUCCAUACUUCUCGUUAUUCCAAAGCUUUGCCCUAUGGUAUGCUUUUAACAAAAAAUUUCAAACACUUCAAUGUCUCUCUUGAGGAUGAAGCUGUCAUCAAACCUCGUCCCACCGACACAAUCAAUAUUCAAACUUUCAAGCAUAUGAAAAUCUUUAAAACUCAAGGACAAUGGGUAGCUUACACUAAAGGGUUCGACCCUGCCUCGGGUCCUUCUACAUUACCAUUUGAGGAUGAAGAAGAAGC